Molecule: ribosomal RNA, 466 nt
Filed under: uncultured bacterium
Lineage: Bacteria
Description: bacterial SSU rRNA
Rfam family: Bacterial small subunit ribosomal RNA
Source: RNAcentral
GUCCAGACUCCUACGGGAGGCAGCAGUGAGGAAUAUUGGUCAAUGGACGAGAGUCUGAACCAGCCAAGUAGCGUGAAGGAUGACUGCCCUAUGGGUUGUAAACUUCUUUUAUAUGGGAAUAAAAUGUUCCACGUGUGGGAUUUUGUAUGUGCCAUAUGAAUAAGGAUCGGCUAACUCCGUGCCAGCAGCCGCGGUAAUACGGAGGAUCCGAGCGUUAUCCGGAUUUAUUGGGUUUAAAGGGAGCGUAGGUGGAUUGUUAAGUCAGUUGUGAAAGUGUGCGGCUCAACCGUAAAAUUGCAGUUGAAACUGGGAGUCUUGAGUACAGUAGAGGUGGGCGGAAUUCGUGGUGUAGCGGUGAAAUGCUUAGAUAUCACGAAGAACUCCGAUUGCGAAGGCAGCUUACCAGUCUGCGACUGACGCUCAGGCACGAAAGUGUGGGUAUCGAACAGGAUUAGAUACCCCCGUA